GAGCGGAAGGCCCUUCGGGGUACUCGAGCGGCGAACGGGUGAGUAACACGUGAGCAACCUGCCCCCGACUCUGGGAUAAGCCCGGGAAACUGGGUCUAAUACCGGAUAUGACCACCGUCCGCAUGGGCUGGUGGUGGAAAGUUUUUCGGUUGGGGAUGGGCUCGCGGCCUAUCAGCUUGUUGGUGGGGUAGUGGCCUACCAAGGCGACGACGGGUAGCCGGCCUGAGAGGGCGACCGGCCACACUGGGACUGAGACACGGCCCAGACUCCUACGGGAGGCAGCAGUGGGGAAUAUUGCGCAAUGGGCGAAAGCCUGACGCAGCGACGCCGCGUGGGGGAUGACGGCCUUCGGGUUGUAAACCUCUUUCAGCAGGGACGAAGUUGACGUGUACCUGCAGAAGAAGCGCCGGCUAACUACGUGCCAGCAGCCCCGGGGUAAUUCA
This 443-nucleotide ribosomal RNA is filed under the name Nonomuraea sp. HVYN-4-4. RNAcentral describes it as "bacterial SSU rRNA". It matches the Rfam family "Bacterial small subunit ribosomal RNA", at positions 64 to 527 of the family's 1533-position model. Lineage: Bacteria; Bacillati; Actinomycetota; Actinomycetes; Streptosporangiales; Streptosporangiaceae. The record is from RNAcentral.